This is a long non-coding RNA of Ctenopharyngodon idella (grass carp), 1304 nucleotides long. RefSeq lists it as uncharacterized. Lineage: Eukaryota; Metazoa; Chordata; Actinopteri; Cypriniformes; Xenocyprididae. The transcript is spliced from 3 exons. The record is from RefSeq and is a predicted model, not a curated record.
ACAAAAUAACGGCUUAUAUAGUGAUGGCCGAUUUCAAAACACUGCUUCAUGAAGCUUCGGAGCAUUAUGAAUCUUUUGUGUCGAAUCAGUGGUUCGGAGCGCCAAAGUCACGUGAUUUCAGCAGUUUGGUGGUUUGACACGCGAUCCGAAUCAUGAUUGGACACGCUGAUUCAUAACGCUCCGAAGCAGUGUUUUGAAAUCGGCCAUCACUAUAUAAGUCGUUAUUUUGUUUUUUUUGGUGCACCAAAAAUAUUCUCGUCGCUUUAUAAUAUUAAUAUUGAACCACUGUACUCACAUGAACUGAUUUAAAUAUGUUUUUAGUACAUUAAUGGAUCUUGAGAGAGGAAAUGUCAUUGCUGGCUAUGGAGGCCUCACUGAGCCAUCGGAUUUCAACAAAAAUAUCUUAAUUUGUGUUCCGAAGAUCAAAGAAGGUCUUACGGGUGUGGAACGGCAUGAGGGUGAGUAAUAAAUGACAUUAUUUUCAUUUUUGGGUGAACUAACCCUUUAAUAUCCUAAUGAUUUUUGGCAUAAAAGAAAAAUUGAUAACUUUGACCCAUACAAUGUAUUGUUGGCUAUUGCUACAAAUAUACCCGUGCGACUUAUGACUGGUUUUGUGUUCCAGGGUCACAUAUAACAUUGUUCUAAUGGUUUUUGAAUAUAUUAAUCCAAAAAUCAUACAUAUUGUGCCUUUAAAUAGUAUUUAUUGGAGUGGCCACAUUUAUGUAAUGUCAUAUAUACUCAUACAUCACUAUUCUUCCUUGUUUUAUAUGUUUUUGUUCAUUCAACAGUCACUGAUGCAAUCACUAUGCGAUCUGAGUCUUGUCAAUAGCAUUUAAAUGCCUGCAUACCCUGUGUAAGCUUUUUGCAAAUGACUUGACCUACAAGUGGCAGUGGAGUGUUGUCUGUGUCUGUAGUGAUAGAACAGAAGAAGAAAAAACAUGCUGUAGCCAAUUAGAUCACUUUAUGAUCUGUGUCAUAAAGUGACAGAGAAUAUGCUCUUCUUUCAUGAUUUCUGUUUUUUUUUUUUUUCACCCUUUCACACACAGAGGCUCAGGAGAAAGCAGAGAGAGAUAGUUUGCAUAUGGCGGCCAUCCAUAUCCCUUCAGUGGCAUUUUUGAGAUCAGCCCCGGAAAUGCCUCAGAACUGGGGGAGACUUUCAAAUUCAAAGAGGCUAUAGCUCUGGGUACGACAGACUUUGCAGAGGAGGACAUUGAUAAAAUAAUGGAGGAGCUAGGAAAGGAGUUCAAGGGGAACGCCUACCACCUGAUGCACAAAAACUGCAACCAUUUUUCUUCCUCGCUGUC